GAUGAAGAACGCAGCGAAAUGCGAUACUUGGUGUGAAUUGCAGAAUCCCGUGAACCAUCGAGUCUUUGAACGCAAGUUGCGCCCGAAGCCAUUAGGCCGAGGGCACGCCUGCCUGGGCGUCACACGUCGUUGCCCCCCCAUCUACUCCUUCAGGAUUGCGAGGGGCGGAUGAUGGCCUCCCGUGCGCCUCGUCGCGCGGUUGGCAUAAAUGCCAAGUCCUCGGCGACGCACGCCACGACAAUCGGUGGUUGCGAAACCUCGGUUGCCCGUCGUGUGCGGUCGUCGCGCAUCGAGGGCUCGAAAAAAUUGCCGGGCUCCGGCUCGGCUUUCAACGCGACCCCAGGUCAGGCGGGGUUACCCGCUGAAUUUAAGCAUAUCAAUAAGCGGAGGA
RNAcentral lists this unclassified non-coding RNA (391 nucleotides) under soil metagenome. Its description in RNAcentral is "partial contains 5.8S ribosomal RNA, internal transcribed spacer 2, and large subunit ribosomal RNA". The stretch from base 1 to 122 matches the Rfam family "5.8S ribosomal RNA", at positions 35 to 154 of the family's 154-position model. The record is from RNAcentral.